CGGAAUUACUGGGCGUAAAGCGCAUGCAGGUGGUUUGUUAAGUCAGAUGUGAAAGCCCGGGGCUCAACCUCGAAAUUUGCAUUUGAAACUGGCAAACUAGAGUACUGUAGAGGGGGUAGAAUUUCAGGUGUAGCGGUGAAAUGCGUAGAGAUCUGAAGGAAUACCGGUGGCGAAGGCGGCCCCCUGGACAGAUACUGACACUCAGAUGCGAAAGCGUGGGGACGCAAACAGGAUUAGAUACCCUGGUAG
Molecule: ribosomal RNA, 249 nt
Filed under: uncultured bacterium
Lineage: Bacteria
Description: partial 16S ribosomal RNA
Rfam family: Bacterial small subunit ribosomal RNA
Source: RNAcentral